UUUAACACCGUUGACUUUUUAUCACAUGUUUGACCGUUCGUCUUAUUCAAAAAAUUUAAGUAAUUAUUAAUUCUUUUCCUAUCAUUUGAUUCAUUGUUAAAUAUAUUUUUAUGUAGGCAUAUAAUUUUACAUAUCUCACAAAAGUUUUUAAAUAAGACGAACGAUCAAACAUGUGCUAAAAAAUCAACGGUGUCAAACAUU
RNAcentral lists this microRNA precursor (201 nucleotides) under Oryza glumipatula. RNAcentral describes it as "MIR812 microRNA precursor family". It matches the Rfam family "MIR812 microRNA precursor family". The record is from Rfam by way of RNAcentral. Lineage: Eukaryota; Viridiplantae; Streptophyta; Magnoliopsida; Poales; Poaceae.